UUGAGGUGGUGAUGAUGACGACAGUUUGUCUUUAACUGAAACAUCAUGAAGCUUUUCAGUCACUACCUCAUCUGAACCUCAU
This is a small nucleolar RNA of Centropristis striata (black sea bass), 82 nucleotides long. RefSeq annotates it as small nucleolar RNA SNORD11B. The record is from RefSeq and is a predicted model, not a curated record. NCBI's taxonomy places the organism in Eukaryota, Metazoa, Chordata, Actinopteri, Perciformes, Serranidae. The transcript has a single exon.